This 254-nucleotide ribosomal RNA is filed under the name uncultured bacterium. RNAcentral's name for it is "partial 16S ribosomal RNA". It matches the Rfam family "Bacterial small subunit ribosomal RNA", at positions 524 to 776 of the family's 1533-position model. The record is from RNAcentral.
UACGAAGGGGGCUAGCGUUGCUCGGAAUCACUGGGCGUAAAGGGUGCGUAGGCGGGUCUUUAACGUCAGGGGUGAAAUCCUGGACUCAACUCCAGAACUGCCUUUGAUACUGAGGAUCUUGAGUUCGGGAGAGGUGAGUGGAACUGCGAGUGUAGAGGUGAAAUUCGUAGAUAUUCGCAAGAACACCAGUGGCGAAGGCGGCUCACUGGCCCGAGUACUGACGCUGAGGCACGAAAGCGUGGGGAGCAAACAGG